UUAUAAAAAAAUCUUAGGAUGUUUUGUAUUAUUAUGCGAAUGUAUUGGAAUAAUAAGCCAAGGUUCUUUUAAAUCUUGUCUGUUUCUAUUAGAUCAGAAGAAGAUAUAGUCCAUAACUGAGUACACCUGAAUAUAUGCUCAGUAUGACCCUAGUAGUUCUAGCUGUAAACGAUGGAAACUAAGAGGGGGUAACCCCCUUCUGUAGCUAACGCGUUAAGUUUCCCGCCUGGGGAGUAUGCUCGCAAGGGUGAAACUCAAAGGAAUUGACGGGAG
Molecule: ribosomal RNA, 273 nt
Filed under: Psychroflexus sp.
Lineage: Bacteria; Pseudomonadati; Bacteroidota; Flavobacteriia; Flavobacteriales; Flavobacteriaceae
Description: partial 16S ribosomal RNA
Rfam family: Bacterial small subunit ribosomal RNA
Source: RNAcentral